This 260-nucleotide long non-coding RNA is filed under the name Lathyrus oleraceus (garden pea). Its description in RNAcentral is "Pisum sativum (pea) long non-coding RNA (PSAT_LNC005539)". The record is from RNAcentral. Lineage: Eukaryota; Viridiplantae; Streptophyta; Magnoliopsida; Fabales; Fabaceae.
AAAUCAGAAGCAUCAAAGAUCAUAUGGCAUGGAACUUAAAUUGCACAAGAUGAACAACCAAAUGUGUGACACAAAUUGUCACACCAUGCAAACACAUUCACAAAACAGAAAUGGUAAAUGAGAAAAAUACCAAACCAAGCCUAAAACAUCCAUCAAUGUGUCAAGAACAAUCAUGUAAAAUUUCAAGCAAUUUGGAUUAAAAUCAAGCAUUUCUCAAUAAGAUGAGCAACGCAAGGUCACCAAUGUACACAUGAUCAAAG